CUGGCUACGAGGACGACGGCUGGCGGACGUGCUUAACACAUGCAAGUCGAACGAGAUUAAGUUGGAAGCUUGCUUUUAACUAGUCGAGUGGCGGACGGGUGAGUAACGCGUGAAUAAUCUGUCCUAUACAGGGGGAUAACGCAUCGAAAGAUGUGCUAAUACCACGUAGGACCACAGCAUCGCAUGGUGCAGGGGUGAAAGGAGCAAUCCAGUAUAGGGUGAGUUCGCGUCUGAUUAGAUAGUUGGUGAGGUAACGGCCCACCAAGUCAACGAUACAGUAGCCGACCUGAGAGGGUGAUCGGCCACAUUGGGACUGAGACACGGCCCAGACUCCUACGGGAGGCAGCAGUGGGGAAUAUUGGGCAAUGGGCGAAAGCCUGACCCAGCAACGCCGCGUGAAGGAAGAAGGUUUUCGGAUUGUAAACUUCUGUACCUAUGUGAAGAGGAAGAGACGGUAGCAUAGGAGGAAGCCCCGGCUAACUACGUGCCAGCCGCGGC
This 498-nucleotide ribosomal RNA is filed under the name uncultured bacterium. RNAcentral's name for it is "bacterial SSU rRNA". It matches the Rfam family "Bacterial small subunit ribosomal RNA", at positions 26 to 518 of the family's 1533-position model. The record is from RNAcentral.